Portunus trituberculatus (swimming crab) is the source of this 177-nucleotide long non-coding RNA. RefSeq lists it as uncharacterized. The record is from RefSeq and is a predicted model, not a curated record. The transcript has 2 exons. NCBI's taxonomy places the organism in Eukaryota, Metazoa, Arthropoda, Malacostraca, Decapoda, Portunidae.
UUUUUUUUUUUUUUGGGUUAGGUGAGGGGCUGUGUGAGUGACUGGGUUCAUAAACAUACUGGAGAGAAGAAAAGAGAGAGAGAGAGAGAGAGAGAGAGAGAGAGAGAGAGAGAGAGAGAGAGAGAGAGAGAGAGAGAGAUAGAGAGAGAGAGAGAGAGAGAGAGAGAGAGAGAGAGA